GAAAGGCCAAUCAAACCGGGAGAUAGCUGGUUCUCCCCGAAAGCUAUUUAGGUAGCGCCUCGUGAACUCAUCUUCGGGGGUAGAGCACUGUUUCGGCUAGGGGGUCAUCCCGACUUACCAACCCGAUGCAAACUACGAAUACCGAAGAAUGUUAUCACGGGAGACACACGGCGGGUGCUAACGUCCGUCGUGAAGAGGGAAACAACCCAGACCGCCAGCUAAGGUCCCAAAGUCAUGGUUAAGUGGGAAACGAUGUGGGAAGGCACAGACAGCCAGGAUGUUGGCUUAGAAGCAGCCAUCAUUUAAAGAAAGCGUAAUAGCUCACUGGUCGAGUCGGCCUGCGCGGAAGAUGUAACGGGGCUAAACCAUGCACCGAAGCUGCGGCAGCGACACUAUGUGUUGUUGGGUAGGGGAGCGUUCUGUAAGCCUGCGAAGGUGUGCUGUGAGGCAUGCUGGAGGUAUCAGAAGUGCGAAUGCUGACAUAAGUAACGAUAAAGCGGGUGAAAAGCCCGCUCGCCGGAAGACCAAGGGUUCCUGUCCAACGUUAAUCGGGGCAGGGUGAGUCGACCCCUAAGGCGAGGCCGAAAGGCGUAGUCGAUGGGAAACAGGUUAAUAUUCCUGUACUUGGUGUUACUGCGAAGGGGGGACGGAGAAGGCUAUGUUAGCCGGGCGACGGUUGUCCCGGUUUAAGCAUGUAGGCUGAUUGUCCAGGCAAAUCCGGAUAAUCAAGGCUGAGGUGUGAUGACGAGGCACUACGGUGCUGAAGUAACAAAUGCCCUGCUUCCAGGAAAAGCCUCUAAGCAUCAGGUAACAUUAAAUCGUACCCCAAACCGACACAGGUGGUCAGGUAGAGAAUACCAAGGCGCUUGAGAGAACUCGGGUGAAGGAACUAGGCAAAAUGGUGCCGUAACUUCGGGAGAAGGCACGCUGGUGUGUAGGUGAAGUCCCUGCGGAUGGAGCUGAGACCAGUCGAAGAUACCAGCUGGCUGCAACUGUUUAUUAAAAACACAGCACUGUGCAAACACGAAAGUGGACGUAUACGGUGUGACGCCUGCCCGGUGCCGGAAGGUUAAUUGAUGGGGUUAUCCGUAAGGAGAAGCUCUUGAUCGAAGCCCCGGUAAACGGCGGCCGUAACUAUAACGGUCCUAAGGUAGCGAAAUUCCUUGUCGGGUAAGUUCCGACCUGCACGAAUGGCGUAAUGAUGGCCAGGCUGUCUCCACCCGAGACUCAGUGAAAUUGAACUCGCUGUGAAGAUGCAGUGUACCCGCGGCAAGACGGAAAGACCCCGUGAACCUUUACUAUAGCUUGACACUGAACAUUGAGCCUUGAUGUGUAGGAUAGGUGGGAGGCUUUGAAGCGUGGACGCCAGUCUGCGUGGAGCCAACCUUGAAAUACCACCCUUUAAUGUUUGAUGUUCUAACGUUGGCCCCUGACCGGGGUUGCGGACAGUGUCUGGUGGGUAGUUUGACUGGGGCGGUCUCCUCCCAAAGCGUAACGGAGGAGCACGAAGGUUAGCUAAUCCUGGUCGGACAUCAGGAGGUUAGUGCAAUGGCAUAAGCUAGCUUGACUGCGAGCGUGACGGCGCGAGCAGGUGCGAAAGCAGGUCAUAGUGAUCCGGUGGUUCUGAAUGGAAGGGCCAUCGCUCAACGGAUAAAAGGUACUCCGGGGAUAACAGGCUGAUACCGCCCAAGAGUUCAUAUCGACGGCGGUGUUUGGCACCUCGAUGUCGGCUCAUCACAUCCUGGGGCUGAAGUAGGUCCCAAGGGUAUGGCUGUUCGCCAUUUAAAGUGGUACGCGAGCUGGGUUUAGAACGUCGUGAGACAGUUCGGUCCCUAUCUGCCGUGGGCGCUGGAGAAUUGAGGGGGGCUGCUCCUAGUACGAGAGGACCGGAGUGGACGCAUCACUGGUGUUCGGGUUGUCAUGCCAAUGGCACUGCCCGGUAGCUAAAUGCGGAAGAGAUAAGUGCUGAAAGCAUCUAAGCACGAAACUUGCCCCGAGAUGAGUUCUCCCUGAGACUAUAAGUCUCCUGAAGGAACGUUGAAGACGACGACGUUGAUAGGCCGGGUGUGUAAGCGCAGCGAUGCGUUGAGCUAACCGGUACUAAUGAACCGUGAGGCUUAACCUUACAACGCCGAAG
This 2137-nucleotide ribosomal RNA is filed under the name Klebsiella pneumoniae. RNAcentral describes it as "partial 23S ribosomal RNA". It matches the Rfam family "Bacterial large subunit ribosomal RNA", at positions 823 to 2925 of the family's 2925-position model. The record is from RNAcentral. Lineage: Bacteria; Pseudomonadati; Pseudomonadota; Gammaproteobacteria; Enterobacterales; Enterobacteriaceae.